AUGCUCUUCACAUGCAAGCCCACCCCCGCGCACGCGGGCCCCGAAACCUGCCUGCAGAUCUUCUCCAUUGAGGUCACGGAGCUCAGCGGGGGCCUCCAGUGGCCGCUGGAGGUCUACGUCCUUGUCGCCACCCGAGACUCGGUGGAUCAUAAUCGCAAUGUCAUCUUCAGGCGCAGGCUGCCCAACCCUAGAAUCGCUCGUUCCCUGUCCCUCCUCCUGUGUGCGGCGCCGCCGCUGCGCACAGGCCACAUCUCCUCGCCCUCCUCCACAUCUCUGGCCAAGGCGCUCACUUCUCCGGCCCUCCUCCACAUCUCCUCGCCUCCACCCCAUCCACUUCCUGUCCAAGACUGUGGCAACGGAGCUCGGUGGCUGCGGCCCUUCUCCAAGACUGCAGCGUGGUGCUCAGCUGCUGCGGCAACGGAGCUGAUGGAGCGCGAGCCGACCAGUUCAACGGAGGCAGUAGCACGGGGCAGCGGCAGCAGCAUGGAGGGCAUCCGCUUGACUGGAAGGGUACAAAUGUUCUUGAUGCAGUUUCAGUACGUGUAUGCAGUUUCAGUCUUCAGCAAUUUGUCUCGUCCAAAUUUAGGAGAGGUCCCUGGUAAAUGGCUCGGCAAAUGCAUAUAUCAUACGGGGUUAAGAAAAAGAUCCCUUCUUGAAGCUCACAGGCCCGUCCCGCACCGUCGUGUUCGCCGCCCCGUCGACGUCGAGGUCCAGCUCAAACUCAAGGGCGGAGCCCCGGAGCGCGAAGACGAAGAGUUCAUCUCCAAAGUUGUGACAUAUGGACGUGAUUUCGGCAGUGACAAUUCCGCCGACGCAGGCAACCAGCACCCCGCGCGCACCACCUGUUCCAGCAGUCGCUGCUCGCUGGAGCUCACCGCCGCCCCGCUCGCCAGGGCGAUCGAGGCCACCGUCAUCUCCGCCGAGGUCACCCAGGGCCGGUGGCCCAAAACCUUAGGAAUCCGCGUCGUCGUCUCCGGCACGACCGGCGCAGACGAGGACUUCGUACUGCUUGACGCUCGAGAUGGGACAUUUCGCGUGGACCUCGCCGACAGCAUCAUCACCCUUACCCGGCAUGUCGUGUGCGUGGAGGAAGGCGGGAGGCUGAAACUUUGCAUAGAGGCCUACAGCAAGAGGACCGGAUGCAUGUACGGAAAAUCUGGGGUCACGGAGCUGAUGCCCAAGAAGGUCCUCCGCCACUAUUGCCGUAUGCAAGCUUGCCUUCUGCACGGUUAA
This 1233-nucleotide ribosomal RNA is filed under the name Triticum aestivum (bread wheat). RNAcentral describes it as "partial small subunit ribosomal RNA". Lineage: Eukaryota; Viridiplantae; Streptophyta; Magnoliopsida; Poales; Poaceae. The record is from RNAcentral.